UUUCCGUAGGUGAACCUGCGGAAGGAUCAUUAAUGAGUUGUCAUGGGGUUCGAUGCUGGCAGCCAAUUUUUGGAUGCAUGUGCUUGCCCUAACAAUCAUCUUCCGAACACCUGUGCACAUUUUUGAGGGAGUCUUGAGUUGGUUGCCGCUCUUGGGUGAUUUUCUCACAUUCCCUUAAAUCAUUAUACGCUAUUAACAAUGUUGAACGUGCUCUGUGCCGCAAGGCUAUUAAUAUAAUACAACUUUUAACAACGGAUCUCUUGGCUCUCACAUCGAUGAAGAACGCAGC
This 289-nucleotide unclassified non-coding RNA is filed under the name plant metagenome. RNAcentral describes it as "partial contains small subunit ribosomal RNA, internal transcribed spacer 1, and 5.8S ribosomal RNA". The stretch from base 241 to 289 matches the Rfam family "5.8S ribosomal RNA", at positions 1 to 49 of the family's 154-position model. The record is from RNAcentral.